CUACGGGGUGCUGCAGUAGGGAAUAUUGCGCAAUGGGGGAAACCCUGACGCAGCAACGCCGUGUGAAGGAUGACGGCCCUAGGGUUGUAAACUUCUGUCUAGAGGGAAGAAGUUCUGACGGUACCUCUAAAGAAAGCACCGGCUAACUCCGUGCCAGCAGCCGCGGUAAUACGGAGGGUGCAAGCGUUAUUCGGAAUUACUAGGUGUAAAGGGCGUGUAGGCGGUUUGUUAAGUUAGAUGUGAAAUCUUACAGCUCAACUGUAUGCCUGCAUUUAAAACUGACGGACUAGAGUAUUAAAGGGGAGAACGGAAUUUCUAGUGUAGCGGUGGAAUGUGUAGAUACUAGAAGGAACACCAAUGGCGAAAGCAGUUCUCUGGUUGAAUACUGACGCUAAGGCGCGAAAGCUAGGGGAGCAAACAGGAUUAGAUACCCUCGUAGUC
This 441-nucleotide ribosomal RNA is filed under the name uncultured bacterium. Its description in RNAcentral is "partial 16S ribosomal RNA". It matches the Rfam family "Bacterial small subunit ribosomal RNA", at positions 339 to 795 of the family's 1533-position model. The record is from RNAcentral.